UGGCCGUGAAAGUGAAAAGUGAGUGGGAUAGUGAAGUGGAAGAAGUAGAGAGGGAAGACCUUUUACUGAUGUUGUCAAUUGGACCCUGAUCAACGCUACACCAUCCGCGGGUGUCCUACAGAGAAACUCCGGCCAUCUACCAACACGUUCCAAAGUGACACUAUUUGCACAAUUUCUCGGAGCAUCAAACAAAAAAAAAACGCUUCCACGCAUGACGACGAUCACGACGACGGCGAAACUUGUUAGUAGUUAGUCAAUCGUUGCGGCCGAGUAGAAUCCAGUUUGAGACAUUGAGACAUUAACAUGAAAUGAAAACUGAAUGAAAUAAAAACCAUUAUUUGAAGAACCAAAAUCAGAAUAAUUGAGGUUUAGAUCCGAUCACUGGGGACGAUUGCAGACGACUCUUCCCAGACCCAUCAAUGCACGGGCCAGGGCCUACAACUUCACGUUCCAUUCGGAAGAAGACGUGGUCGGGGAUUUUUCACUUCGGAAUAUUCACCUAAUCCAGGUCAUAUGAAGCUUUCACGUUAACCAUACAGUCGCCUACGCCGUAUAACGAACUUGUGAGAACAAAAAAUGUAAACCUGUACCGUCUUGAUUAUCUUGGCAGUAAUUUACAAUAACAUGUUCUUCCAAAGUAUGGUUCACUACUGCGCGUAUUAUUGCACAAUA
Toxorhynchites rutilus septentrionalis is the source of this 672-nucleotide long non-coding RNA. RefSeq lists it as uncharacterized. The record is from RefSeq and is a predicted model, not a curated record. The transcript is spliced from 4 exons. Lineage: Eukaryota; Metazoa; Arthropoda; Insecta; Diptera; Culicidae.